GUGGGGAAUAUUGGGCAAUGGGCGAAAGCCUGAUCCAGCCAUGCCGCGUGUGUGAAGAAGGUCUUCGGAUUGUAAAGCACUUUAAGUUGGGAGGAAGGGCAGUAAGUUAAUACCUUGCUGUUUUGACGUUACCGACAGAAUAAGCACCGGCUAACUUCGUGCCAGCAGCCGCGGUAAUACGAAGGGUGCAAGCGUUAAUCGGAAUUACUGGGCGUAAAGCGCGCGUAGGUGGUUUUGUAAGUUGGAGGUGAAAUCCCCGGGCUCAACCUGGGAACUGCCUCCAAAACUGCAUGACUAGAGUACGGUAGAGGGUAGUGGAAUUUCCUGUGUAGCGGUGAAAUGCGUAGAUAUAGGAAGGAACACCAGUGGCGAAGGCGACUACCUGGACUGAUACUGACACUGAGGUGCGAAAGCGUGGGGAGCAAACAGGAUUAGAAACCCGUGUAGUCC
Molecule: ribosomal RNA, 450 nt
Filed under: uncultured bacterium
Lineage: Bacteria
Description: partial 16S ribosomal RNA
Rfam family: Bacterial small subunit ribosomal RNA
Source: RNAcentral